CCCUUAGAUGUUCUGGGCGGCCCGCGCACUACAAUGGCGCUUUCAGCGAGUUCCUAUGUUGAAUUUUCCUGGGUAUUCUUGGAGGCGGCGUCUUGACUUGGGAUAGAUCCUUGUAAUUGUUGGUUUUGAACGAGGAAUUCCUUGUAAUCGCGGUUGAUCAGCUCGCGUUGAAUACGUCCCUGCCCUUUGUACACACCGCCCGUCGCUCCUACCGAUGAAUCGUCCGGUGAAGUUCACAGAGUGGCGGUUCGUGGAGUUGCUCGCGAAGUGAAAUGGACCUCACGAUUUAGAGGAAGGAGAAGUCGUAACA
This 310-nucleotide ribosomal RNA is filed under the name uncultured eukaryote. RNAcentral describes it as "partial 18S ribosomal RNA". It matches the Rfam family "Eukaryotic small subunit ribosomal RNA", at positions 1470 to 1796 of the family's 1831-position model. The record is from RNAcentral.